Molecule: ribosomal RNA, 496 nt
Filed under: uncultured bacterium
Lineage: Bacteria
Description: partial 16S ribosomal RNA
Rfam family: Bacterial small subunit ribosomal RNA
Source: RNAcentral
AUGCACGCUGGCGGCGUGCCUCAUCCCUGCCAGUCGCGCGAACAGACGAGGAGCUUGCUCCUCUGACGUUAGCGGCGGACGGGUGAGUAACACGUGGAUAACCUACCUAUAAGACUGGGAUAACUUCGGGAAACCGGAGCUAAUACCGGAUAAUAUAUUGAACCGCAUGGUUCAAUAGUGAAAGACGGUUUUGCUGUCACUUAUAGAUGGAUCCGCCCCGCAUUAGCUAGUUGGUAAGGUAACGGCUUACCAAGGCAACGAUGCGUAGCCGACCUGAGAGGGUGAUCGGCCACACUGGAACUGAGACACGGUCCAGACUCCUACGGGAGGCAGCAGUAGGGAAUCUUCCGCAAUGGGCGAAAGCCUGACGGAGCAACGCCGCGUGAGUGAUGAAGGUCUUCGGAUCGUAAAACUCUGUUAUUAGGGAAGAACAAAUGUGUAAGUAACUAUGCACGUCUUGACGGUACCUAAUCAGAAAGCCACGGCUAACUACGUG